Molecule: long non-coding RNA, 1781 nt
Organism: Mya arenaria
Lineage: Eukaryota; Metazoa; Mollusca; Bivalvia; Myida; Myidae
Exons: 2
Source: RefSeq, a predicted model, not a curated record
UCUUCUUUUGUUUCACUUUUGUUUCACUUUAUUAUUAUUAUUUUCAAUUUGCUGUUUUCACGAAGGAAAUAUGUAACCGUUCAAUUGUGGAUGUAAACAUCGGACAUCAAUCUGACUCACACGUGUUGGAAUUGACCUUACGACAGCGGCUUCUAAGCCACGCCCCCUGAUAUCAAGGGAGCGAACUCUGUCUAUGUCCGUCAAACAAACGAGGAAGUAAUGGCGUCUCGCGUCGUUUCACUUUCCGAUAUUCCUGACAAAUUAUCAUAAAUGUGACAUUACAAUGCGAAAAAAAUAGAAGUCAAAGGAAUUUGUAACUGGCUGCUACAUCGGAAGGCUCGAUAUAUCUUUAGAAAAUGACGAUAUCUAACAUUUACGGGGUGAAAUCUAUCCAAGUCAGAGGAAAUUGGAUAGCCGCCAUGUUGUCAAUAUUGACAUCGAUACAAAGGAAAAGCGUGUGUGUGACGCAUACUGUAAAUGCAAACAAGGGUAAGUUUAACUUUUAAUAACACCGGUCCUUCUUACAGUAUUGUUGAAACAAAGAUUAAAUCAUCGCACAAUAUGAGUGAAUCAUAAACGGCCCGAAUGGGGAACCCGGAAGUGACAUUAAAUAACAGUUACAUGCCAGCUAUACAGUAUAACCUUGUAUUCUAUAGUAUGAGCAGAAAUGGUUUAUUGGGGUUAUGCAUAAAAAGUUUCAGUUCUAAGCGAUUGAACACUCUCCCUAAUGAAUAAUAAUGUAAUAGUUGACAAGUGACAAUCGUGGGUGAUACCAAUCUGUAACUUUUGCAUUGCUCAAACAUUCACAUGCUUUGAUUUUUGUUCUUACAGAAAUUGUGGCUGUAAAAGUAGACCUGGGAGGAAAAGUGCCCCCGGUGUGGGGCUCGAACUCACAACCACCAAAACACUAGCCCGGCACUCUAACCAACUAAGCUGACCAGGCAGCUGGUUCUAACCCACACACACUACCCUCCCCCCAUUUACCGGUUAAGGCUGGUGGAGGGUCUCCUGCUAUUUACCGUUGACACCAUUAAAGUAUUCUGAUUGUCUUCAACAAGCCUACCGCCACAGGAGACCUAGCAUAAGACCGGGAAACCGCCCCCCCCCCACACACACACACGAUAUUUGCCAGUCCAGGCAAUGUCAACCGCAAGAGAAAACCAGUGAUGACAAGUUUUACAAAUAAUCGGAAAGUGUGGUCUUUUGAAGAGAGUUCUUGAAGUUGUUCAGCAUGUUGUUUUGAUGGAUUCUUGGAAGGAUGUACCUCUAUGAUGUUAGCUCCAGUUCUGGAAUAUAACACCAGUUGUUGCAUAUUUAAUAUCAGAUUUAUUAAAUACAUUGUUGUUUUGCAAACAUUACUUAAACUUUGAUAUUUCUUUGGUGUUUAUGUAUGAUAUUGUAGGUGAAUAUCUCUUUAUUGCAAUGGCAAAUAUAUUUUAAAAUAUAUAGCAUUAGCAGAAGUUAUUUUUCACUGUUAAAGCUGCACUUUCACAGAUUGAUCACUUUGACAACUUACACAGGAUUCGAUUGCAUUUAUCAUAUUUUGGCUCGGAGAAGUUUGCUUUGUGAUUUAUAUAUUAGGUCUUAAUUUAAAGAAUGCCAAAAUAAGCCGAUUCUGAGACAAAAAGUGUCAAACUAGAAUUCUGUGAGAGUGCAACUUUAAGAAUACUGUUAAUCGAGUGUGCAUGUGAUCCGGACUCUGAACAUUGGAUGAACUAUCAUUAAAUAUUGUAGAUUUACGUAAAUGGCCCAAAAUAUAAGAAUAACAAUGAAAAUAUGUA